This 370-nucleotide ribosomal RNA is filed under the name uncultured bacterium. RNAcentral describes it as "bacterial SSU rRNA". It matches the Rfam family "Bacterial small subunit ribosomal RNA", at positions 434 to 793 of the family's 1533-position model. The record is from RNAcentral.
CAGUCGUGAGGAAGGUAGUGUAGUUAAUAGCUGCAGUAUUUGACGUUAGCGACAGAAGAAGCACCGGCUAACUCCGUGCCAGCAGCCGCGGUAAUACGGAGGGUGCGAGCGUUAAUCGGAAUUACUGGGCGUAAAGCGCAUGCAGGUGGUUUGUUAAGUUCAGAUGUGAAAGACCCGGGGCGUCAACCUCGGAAUAGCAUUUGAAACUAGGCAGACUAGAGUACUGUAGAGGGGGUAGGAAUUUCAGGUGUAGCGGUGAAAUAGCGUAGAGAUCUGAAGGAAUACCGGUGGCGAAGGCGGCCCCCUCGGACAGAUACUGACACUCAGAUGCGAAAGCGUGGGGAGCAAACAGGAUUAGAUACCCUGGUAG